RNAcentral lists this ribosomal RNA (401 nucleotides) under uncultured bacterium. RNAcentral's name for it is "bacterial SSU rRNA". It matches the Rfam family "Bacterial small subunit ribosomal RNA", at positions 29 to 423 of the family's 1533-position model. The record is from RNAcentral.
AUUGAACGCUGGCGGCAUGCCUUACACAUGCAAGUCGAACGGCAGCACGGGGGCAACCCUGGUGGCGAGUGGCGAACGGGUGAGUAAUGCAUCGGAACGUGUCCUCUUGUGGGGGAUAACCAGUCGAAAGACUGGCUAAUACCGCAUGAGAUCGCAAGAUGAAAGCAGGGGACUCCGAGGGUAACUUCGGGCCUUGCGCGAGAGGAGCGGCCGAUGCCCGAUUAGCUAGUUGGUGGGGUAAAGCCUACCAAGGCGACGAUCGGUAGCUGGUCUGAGAGGACGACCAGCCACACUGGGACUGAGACACGGCCCAGACUCCUACGGGAGGCAGCAGUGGGAAUUUUGGACAAUGGGGCAACCCUGAUCCAGCCAUGCCGCGUGUGUGAUGAAGGCCUUCGGUU